Molecule: long non-coding RNA, 355 nt
Filed under: Mastacembelus armatus (zig-zag eel)
Lineage: Eukaryota; Metazoa; Chordata; Actinopteri; Synbranchiformes; Mastacembelidae
Description: lncRNA (ENSMAMG00000027713.1)
Source: RNAcentral
UUUUUUUCCCCCUUUAAUAAUUUUUUUUCUCCCUCAUAUAAUUUCAGUGGAACGUCAUCUCAGUAGUUAAAACAGCUUUCACCCUCCACAGGUUCUGGCUGCAGUUCAGCACAGAAGAUGGACCUGGACCCGGUUCAGCCAUCUCUCUUGACAACAUCUCAUUUAGUAUGGACUGCUUCCUGGCAUCCAACGGCGAGUUUCCGCCAGUGGUCACCAGCGCAACCAGGCUGCCUUUUAGACCAACUGUCAAGACUAUACCCCCGUCCUUAGGAAGGCCUUUCAUGAUCAUCCCCACCCCAGGCUACUCCAAAAAAUGGAUUUUUCAUACCUGUGGGGCUGCGGGCCCUGAGGGCCC